UACGUAGGGGCUAGCGUUAUCCGGAAUUACUGGGCGUAAAGGGUGCGUAGGUGGUUUCUUAAGUCAGAGGUGAAAGGCUACGGCUCAACCGUAGUAAGCCUUUGAAACUGGGAAACUUGAGUGCAGGAGAGGAGAGUGGAACUCCUAGUGUAGCGGUGAAAUGCGUAGAUAUUAGGAGGAACACCAGUUGCGAAGGCGGCUCUCUGGACUGUAACUGACACUGAGGCACGAAAGCGUGGGGAGCAAACAGGAUUAGAUACCCUGGUAGUCCCUGAG
This 276-nucleotide ribosomal RNA is filed under the name uncultured prokaryote. RNAcentral describes it as "partial 16S ribosomal RNA". It matches the Rfam family "Bacterial small subunit ribosomal RNA", at positions 524 to 801 of the family's 1533-position model. The record is from RNAcentral.